Molecule: ribosomal RNA, 429 nt
Filed under: Pseudomonadota bacterium
Lineage: Bacteria; Pseudomonadati; Pseudomonadota
Description: Proteobacteria bacterium partial 16S ribosomal RNA
Rfam family: Bacterial small subunit ribosomal RNA
Source: RNAcentral
UGGGGAAUAUUGGACACUGGGGGGAACCCUGAUCCAGCCAUGCCGCGUGUGUGAAGAAGGUCUUCGGAUUGUAAAGCACUUUAAGUUGGGAGGAAGGGCAGUAAGCGAAUACCUUGCUGUUUUGACGUUACCGACAGAAUAAGCACCGGCUAACUCUGUGCCAGCAGCCGCGGUAAUACAGAGGGUGCAAGCGUUAAUCGGAAUUACUGGGCGUAAAGCGUGCGUAGGCGGCUAAUUGAGUCGGAUGUGAAAUCCCCGAGCUUAACUUGGGAAUUGCAUUCGAUACUGGUUAGCUAGAGUGUGGGAGAUGAUGGUAGAAUUCCAGGUGUAGCGGUGAAAUGCGUAGAGAUCUAGAGGAAUACCGAUGGCGAAGGCAGCCAUCUGGCCUAACACUGACGCUGAGGUACGAAAGCAUGGGGAGCAAACAGG